GUUAUAGCUUGCUAUAACUGUCAGCUAAGUGGCGCACGGGUGAGUAAUGUAUAGUUAACCUGCCCUCUAGAAAGGAAUAACAGUUGGAAACGACUGCUAAUGCCCUAUAUGCCUUUAAGACAUAAGUCUGCAAGGGAAACGCUUUAGUGCUAGAGGAUGGGACUGUAUGGUAUCAGCUAGUUGGUGAGGUAAAGGCUCACCAAGGCAAUGACGCCUAACUGGUUUGAGAGGAUGAUCAGUCACACUGGAACUGAGACACGGUCCAGACUCCUACGGGAGGCAGCAGUGGGGAAUAUUGCACAAUGGAGGAAACUCUGAUGCAUCAACGCCGCGUGGAGGAUGACACUUUUCGGAGCGUAAACUCCUUUUAUAUAGGAAGAUAAUGACGGUACUAUAUGAAUAAGCACCGGCUAACUCCGUGCCAGCAGCCGCGGUAAUACGGAGGGUGCAAGCGUUACUCGGAAUCACUGGGCGUAAAGAGCGUGUAGGCGGGUUAAUAAGUUUGAAGUGAAAUCCUAUG
Molecule: ribosomal RNA, 520 nt
Filed under: uncultured bacterium
Lineage: Bacteria
Description: bacterial SSU rRNA
Rfam family: Bacterial small subunit ribosomal RNA
Source: RNAcentral